ACUCACUCAUCACGAAAUCUCCGAAACUAUAACACCUACAAACUUGAAAUUUGGCAGGUAGGCUCCUUAUAAGACGUAGGCAUCCGCUAAGAACGGAUUUUACGAAACUCGACCCUAAGGGGGUGAAAUGGGGGUUGCAAGUUUGUAUGAACGUCCUAUGAUUUUGAAGUAAGAGACUUGAAAUUUAAAAUGUAUGCUCUAUAGAUGAUGAGAAGGUGUUUAAAUAAUAUAUCUUUAGAAA
RNAcentral lists this unclassified non-coding RNA (241 nucleotides) under Melitaea cinxia (Glanville fritillary). Its description in RNAcentral is "misc RNA ENSMCXG00005013132.1". Lineage: Eukaryota; Metazoa; Arthropoda; Insecta; Lepidoptera; Nymphalidae. The record is from RNAcentral.